RNAcentral lists this long non-coding RNA (255 nucleotides) under Trifolium pratense (red clover). RNAcentral's name for it is "long non-coding RNA (TPRA_LNC000669)". The record is from RNAcentral. Lineage: Eukaryota; Viridiplantae; Streptophyta; Magnoliopsida; Fabales; Fabaceae.
AGUAAGAGUAAUAGGAUUGAGGUUUGAAAAAUUGAGGUUUGGUGUUGAUAGUAGUUGAAUGUAGCGAUUGGAAAUCUACAUUUUUUGCUUUUGAUAGUUUCUCUGUAUUUUUUUUAUUUUUUUUUGUCUUUGUUUGGUUAUGUAUUUGAAAGUGGUGGUUUUGAUGGAUUGAAGAAUGUUUUGUUAAAAUAUGAAAGGUAAAUGAAUUGGUUUUUUGUGUUUUUCCCUCUUUCUCCUCUCUGUUUUUUCUUCACU